AUACAUAUAAAUUCUGUGUUAUUAAUGAAAGCUGGGUGGCUUCCAGCCUCCCAUAUUCACCAAAAGGAUUGUGGUUGCUGAUAAGAUUUUCCAGUUGAUUUUUGCAAAAGCACCGAAGGUUUUGGAGCUGCGAUCUCGUGCAGGUGCCACCCUCGAAAGGUGGUGCAGCACCCAGGAUACCAAAAUUUUAUGAGGACACUGCACUUCUUCCGCCCUGUAAUGGAGGAGCGCUUGAGGUCUGACUUGCGGCUCAUCAUUCCCAUUGUGAGGACAAUAUCACAUGAUUUCUCCCACAUAUGUUCCCCUACUUCAAAUCAAAGAUAUUAUGCCAGUAAACUUAUGGCUCAUGAUGCAUCUGACUUCUUUUUGUGCAUCUGGCAUAUGUUCGCAUACUUUCUCCAAGAAAAUAUAAUGUGUUUCUGCUC
Non-coding RNA from Elaeis guineensis (African oil palm), 425 nucleotides. The record is from RefSeq and is a predicted model, not a curated record. NCBI's taxonomy places the organism in Eukaryota, Viridiplantae, Streptophyta, Magnoliopsida, Arecales, Arecaceae.